This 84-nucleotide transfer RNA is filed under the name Halobacteriovorax marinus. Its description in RNAcentral is "tRNA-Leu". It matches the Rfam family "tRNA". From Rfam's summary of the family: Transfer RNA (tRNA) molecules are approximately 80 nucleotides in length. The record is from RNAcentral. Lineage: Bacteria; Pseudomonadati; Bdellovibrionota; Bacteriovoracia; Bacteriovoracales; Halobacteriovoraceae. RNAcentral also lists the same sequence under 27 other names.
GCCCAGAUGGUGAAAUUGGUAGACACGCUAGACUUAGGAUCUAGUGCCUUUGGCGUGGAGGUUCAAGUCCUCUUCUGGGCACCA